This is a long non-coding RNA of Lagenorhynchus albirostris (white-beaked dolphin), 709 nucleotides long. RefSeq lists it as uncharacterized. The record is from RefSeq and is a predicted model, not a curated record. The transcript has 3 exons. Lineage: Eukaryota; Metazoa; Chordata; Mammalia; Artiodactyla; Delphinidae.
CUUCCGGGCGCGGGACGUAAGACGUCCAGGAAGGUACUGAUGGCUCUCGGCUGGGUGAGGGUAGAGAAGGUUUCCAAGGCGCCCUCGGGCCUCGCGGGCUCAGGGCCCACGCAGUUCUCUCUGGUGGCACCGGGGGGCGAUGUGGAGCGUCCCACAGCGCACCUGCGCCCCGGAGGCUCAUGGGCGUUGUAGUUCCCAGGGCGGCGAGCUGUGCUGGCACUUAGCGUGGGAGGGCGAGGCCAGGUCUGGAGGCACGGUCCCGUCCUCCUUGAGGCAGAAGCGGUUGUCCCGGCGUGGAUGACUCCGGAGCGUCCUGGCCUCGAACCCCGUGGAGUGCGACCCACUGCGCGGGUUUGGCGACAGAUCUGGCGGCCGUGUGUCGCAGCUGGAGGUAGGACCAGGCCCUGCGGCCUGGCUGAGGAACACCGUCCUGGGAAUCUUUCGGAGGAACAGUGCCUAAUGCUUAGGUGAAGAAGUAUUUGUUGAAAGAAGAAUUUGUUGAAUAAUUUCAGUUGAGCGUUCAGUUAAGCACUGUGUUGGGCUUAAGUUUCUCGAUGUCUUCGAUGGAAGGCAAAUUCUGUAUUCACGUUCAUUUAAAAAAUAAAGGAUUAUGAAGCUGGUAGAGUGUAAGCUUGGAAUUCUGGUGGCCAUCUUGCUAUCUAUGAGGGGAAAACCUGCCUGAGGAGGAAGACAGUCCAGAGGAAAGCAG